This 2766-nucleotide long non-coding RNA is filed under the name Macaca fascicularis (crab-eating macaque). Its description in RNAcentral is "lncRNA (ENSMFAG00000063943.1)". The record is from RNAcentral. Lineage: Eukaryota; Metazoa; Chordata; Mammalia; Primates; Cercopithecidae.
GCAAAAGGAAAAACAUUUAAUACACAAAAAAGCACAAUUAAAAAGUAUUAAAAGCAUUACAUAGUGCAAACACCAAAAAGACAGCUGUUAAUUUCAUGGCGCUUAUAAAGAAAACUAGGCAAGAAUGCAGAAAAUGCCUUCCUCUUUCCUCAUUUAGUGAGCUGGCCACAUUCGAAAGGUUAUUUUUUUUGUGUGUGUGAGAGACUGAAGUUUUAUUAUUACUCAAUUCAGUCUCCCAAAAAGUUAUUUUAAAUUGCCACUUUCUUCCCACUUUAUGAAACCACAUUUGCUGCUCUUGAUUGUGACUCUCUGAUCGGAGACAUCUGGAAAACUGCAUGUUUUCUAUCUAUGGGCAGUGCAUUUUAUGCCACCUACUCAAGUGUGCGUAGAAAGAGACAUUUUGGGCCAGGCAUGGUGGCUCACGCCUGUAAUCUCAGUACUUUGGGAGGCCAAGACAGGCAGAUCGCCUGAGGUCAGGAGUUCAAGACCAGCCUCGCCAACAUGGUGAAACCCUUUCUCUACUAAAUAUACAAAAAUUAGCCAGGUGUGAUGGUGCACGCCUGUAGUCCCAGCUACUUGAGAGGCUGAGGCAGGAGAAUCGCUUGAACCCAAGAGGCUUACAGUGAGCCAAGAUCACGCCACUGCAGUCCAGCCUGGGCGACAGACUGAGACUGUCUCAAAAAAAAAAAGAAAAGAAAAGAAAAGAAAAAAGUUUUGUACAUCAAGACCACAGCAAGAUGGUUUUAUCAGGAUAGAAUGUACUAUCCAAAUUUACAAACUUCUCUCAGAACACCUAGAGAAAGAACUCUUUUCUAGUCAAGAGCCUCAUAUCAAAGAAAGAAUACCUAAACUAGAAGCAUGGGUAAAAGGGCUUGCAGUAAGCAAACAGGCUCUGCCAGGCAGGCAAUAAAGGAGAGCUUGUGCUCAGCUUCCAGAACAUGAGGUAUUCUGAAUAUAUACCCAGAGCUUGGUACACCAAGAGCAUAAUAGUUCUUAGAUCUCUUCAAGGAUAUUAACAGGCUUCAAAGUUGCUCUCCCAUAUUGAAUCCCCGCAACAAACUAUGAGGUAGAAGGGUAGGUACGUGUACUGCUUUUUAUAGAUACGAAAAACUGAGGCAUAUGGAGGUCAAGACUGGCACUCAAUACUUACUCUACCUCCACCCCAAGAGGCACUUAAUAGUGCACAGCUAGAGACUAAAGAAAGUCAUAUUCAGAGGUUGCUAUGAGGUCUACCUUGCCAAGUGCUGAGGAAGCCAAGCAUUUCAUCCAUCCUUUGAAAUAUUUCCUGUUGAUUUUUAAAGGGGGAAGAAAAAACCCCAAAAGAAACACUUCGAUUCUCAUUGAAAAGGAAGUGAAAAAAUGAGGCAAACUACAGAGAAAAAAAUAAUCAUGUUAGAAGGAAGUCUGGCCUCAAUUUCUUUGAGACAGGGUCUCUGUCACCCACCUUGGAUUGCAGUGGUGCCAUCUCAGCUCACUGCAACCUCCACCUCCAAGGCUCAAGCAAUCCUCCCACCUCAGCUUCCUGAGUAGCUGGGACAACAAGCGUGCACCCACCGUGCCCAGUUAUUUUUUGUAUUUUUGGUAGAAACAGGGUUUCGCCAUGUUGCCCAGGCUGGUCUUGAGCUCCUGAGCUCAAGCAAUCUGCCCAUUUUGGCCGCCCAAGUGCUGGGAUAACAGAAGUGAGCCACUGCGCCUGGCCUGACCUCAAUUUCUUAGUGCUGAGACAACAGGGGAGCUAACUUCCCCAUCCCCCAUCACACACAAAAAGGAAGCCUCAACUACGAGUUGUCACUUUAUUAGAUAGUAGCUCUGCCAUCACAGCUUCCCAUCUACUGCCUAACUCUGCAACAGAAACAUUCCCUCUUUCCCUGGGAAGAGGAAUCUUAUCUAAAGAUACUGUAGUUACAAGGACUGAUAAGGGUCUUUGGUAUAAAAGCAAUAUCCAGAAAUAAGAUAACAACUUUGAACUAAGGGGAUAUAAAUGACACAGUAAAGGUGGAAGAAAGGGUUUUUUCUAAGGGAGACCAGAGUUUUAUUAUUACUCAAAUCAGUCUCCCAAAAAGUUAUUUUAACAUGCUGUUUUCUUCCCACUUUAUGAAACCACAUUUGCUACUCUGUUGACAGGGACGAUCUGAUCAGAAAUAUUUGUCUGUUGAUAUCAGUACUUGACUGUUAAAAAAAAUGCCUUCAGAGAGCUGUUAUAAUGAUAAAUGUCAAUUUUCUUUUUUCUUUUUUUUUGAGACUGAGUCUCGCUCUGUCGCCCAGGCAGGAGCGCAGUGUGGCAAGGAAAAAAGAACAAAAUCAAAAACAGAUCACGAAAACAGUUUAAGCUGGGCACUGUGGCUCACGCCUGUAAUCCCAGCACUUUGCGAGGCCAAGGUGGGUGGAUGACCUGAGGUCAGGAGUUCGAGACCAGCCUGACCAACAUGGUGGAACCAUCUCUACUAAAAAUACGAAAUUAGCCAGACAUGGUGGUGCACACCUGUAAUCCCAGCUACUUGGGAGGCUGAGGCAGGAGAAUCAUCUGAAACUGGGAGGCGGAGGUUGCAGUGAGCCAAGCACUCUACUGCACUCCAGCCUGGGCGACAAGAGCAAAACUCCAUCUCAAAUUUAAAAAAAAAAAGAAAAGAAAUAAAGUUUCCUACAAGUGAAGAUGAAAUUCGGCUCAAGAACAUAGCUUAGGAUCGCCUAAGUACUUAGUGCUAACAGAAGCAGUGAAAAACCCUGGUGAGCAAGCAGGAACAGGAGUAAAGCUGAGUAGCAUAA